This is a non-coding RNA of Acanthosepion pharaonis, 89 nucleotides long. The record is from the annotation of a GenBank genome assembly. Lineage: Eukaryota; Metazoa; Mollusca; Cephalopoda; Sepiida; Sepiidae.
UACGGUCAUAUAAUGUUGAAAAACCGGUUCUCAUUCGAUCAGCGAAGUUAAGCGACCUUACGCCUGGCUAGUACCUUAAUGGGUGACCU